GGUGACUCAGUGGUAGAGCGCUUGCCUUGCCUGCAAGAGGCUGAGGUUCCAUUCCUCAGCACCA
Molecule: transfer RNA, 64 nt
Filed under: Dipodomys ordii (Ord's kangaroo rat)
Lineage: Eukaryota; Metazoa; Chordata; Mammalia; Rodentia; Heteromyidae
Rfam family: tRNA
About the family: Transfer RNA (tRNA) molecules are approximately 80 nucleotides in length.
Source: Rfam by way of RNAcentral